RNAcentral lists this ribosomal RNA (467 nucleotides) under uncultured bacterium. RNAcentral describes it as "partial 16S ribosomal RNA". It matches the Rfam family "Bacterial small subunit ribosomal RNA", at positions 28 to 507 of the family's 1533-position model. The record is from RNAcentral.
GACGAACGCUGGCGGCGUGCUUAACACGUGCAAGUCGAACGGAAAGGCUCCAGCUUGCUGGAGUACUCGAGUGGCGAACGGGUGAGUAACACGUGGGUAAUCUGCCCUGCACUCUGGGAUAAGCCUGGGAAACUGGGUCUAAUACUGGAUAUGACCUUUCUCCUUAUGGGGUUUGGUGGAAAGUUUUUCGGUGCAGGAUGAGCCCGCGGCCUAUCAGCUUGUUGGUGGGGUGAUGGCCUACCAAGGCGACGACGGGUAGCCGGCCUGAGAGGGUGAUCGGCCACAUUGGGACUGAGAUACGGCCCAGACUCCUACGGGAGGCAGCAGUGGGGAAUAUUGCACAAUGGGCGGAAGCCUGAUGCAGCGACGCCGCGUGAGGGAUGACGGCCUUCGGGUUGUAAACCUCUUUCAGCAGGGACGAAGCGUAAGUGACGGUACCUGCAGAAGAAGCACCGGCUAACUACGUG